Molecule: ribosomal RNA, 786 nt
Filed under: Triticum aestivum (bread wheat)
Lineage: Eukaryota; Viridiplantae; Streptophyta; Magnoliopsida; Poales; Poaceae
Description: partial small subunit ribosomal RNA
Source: RNAcentral
AUGCGGUUUCCUAGGCUUUUUGCGAUUUGUGUCGAUCCGGCCAUCCUUGUAUCGGCGGCUGCUUUGGAUGAGGCAUGGAACAUCGCGUUCCGCCGCUCAUUCGAACCAGUUGAGGUACAUGAAUGGAUAGACUUGAGGGAAAUAGUCCCUCUUCCUCUGUCCCAGGACCCCGAUUCUGUCUCUUGGAGUCUUUCUCCUACGGGAGAAUUCUCCGUUAGCUCGGCGUAUCAGACGUUGUGUCGUCUGCCGGUUCUACCGUGGUUAUCCCCACUGUGGAAGGCUCAGAUGCCCCUGAAGAUUAAGAUUUUCGUAUGGCAGCUUCUCAGAGAUCGUUUACCCUCAGGGACUAAGGUGCUAAAACGCCAUGGUCCCAGAAAUGGUCUCUGCCCUUUGUGCCACGUCCCGGAAAUGGGCACGCACAUUUUGUUCUCUUGCAUAGCAGCGCAGACGCUUUGGUGCUUUGUUCGGGAGGCUUUAGGACCGGAGUGGGAAGCCCGUGACGUUGCAGAGUUUCUGCAAGUACGGGCCACUCAGGUUGGCCGUAAGCGCCUACUGUUCUGGCUCAUCUUCGCGGCUAUGGUGUGGACUCUUUGGACUACUCGCAACAAGAUGGUGAUUGAGUGGGUGUUCCCGUGACGUGCUUCUGAUUCGUUCUUCAAAUUUCUGGCUUUCUUGCAGCACUGGCAUCCGCUUGCUAGGCCGAGGUAUCGUGACCGGCUUCAGCUUUACCUGGAUGCUCUGGUGGGUUCCGCGCGUCGUCUCUCUGGCCGCUCGCCUGUUCCGUAG